GUCAAGGUGGUGGAGUGGUUAACACGUUCGCCUGCUAUUGCUAGGUUUAACAAAGUCAGCGGAUGCCUUCUGGGCGCGCAGGUUCGAAUCCUGUCCUUGACG
Molecule: non-coding RNA, 102 nt
Organism: Tirmania nivea
Lineage: Eukaryota; Fungi; Ascomycota; Pezizomycetes; Pezizales; Pezizaceae
Source: the annotation of a GenBank genome assembly